CGCUACGUCUCAAAGAUUAAGCCAUGCAUGUGUAAGUAUAAAUAGUAACUACGAAACUGCGAAUGGCUCAUUAUAUCAGUUAUAGUUUAUUUGAUGAAGAAUACAAAUAGGAUAACCGUAGUAAUACUAGAGCUAAUACAUGUAUAAAGUCUUGUAGACUGCAUUUAUUAGAAUGAAAACCAUAGGUUUCGGCCUAUUCGAGAGUAAUAAUAACUAAUCAUAUCGUAUGCUUAUGUAACGAUGUGUCUUUCAAGUUUCUGCCCUAUCAGCUUUCGAUGGUAGUGUAUUGGACUACCAUGGCAGUAACGGGUAACGAAGAA
This 320-nucleotide ribosomal RNA is filed under the name Blastocystis sp. Its description in RNAcentral is "SSU rRNA". It matches the Rfam family "Eukaryotic small subunit ribosomal RNA", at positions 33 to 369 of the family's 1831-position model. Lineage: Eukaryota; Bigyra; Opalinata; Blastocystidae. The record is from RNAcentral.